GGGCCCUAGCUCAGUGGUAGAGCAUCUUCUCUGCUUGCUGAAGGUCCCUGUUUCAAGCCCUGGCAUCUCCA
This is a non-coding RNA of Podarcis lilfordi (Lilford's wall lizard), 71 nucleotides long. The record is from the annotation of a GenBank genome assembly. NCBI's taxonomy places the organism in Eukaryota, Metazoa, Chordata, Lepidosauria, Squamata, Lacertidae.